GUGGGGAAUAUUGGACAAUGGGCGAAAGCCUGAUCCAGCCAUGCCGCGUGUGUGAAGAAGGUCUUCGGAUUGUAAAGCACUUUAAGUUGGGAGGAAGGGUAGUAACCUAAUACGUUGCUACUUUGACGUUACCGACAGAAUAAGCACCGGCUAACUUCGUGCCAGCAGCCGCGGUAAUACGAAGGGUGCAAGCGUUAAUCGGAAUUACUGGGCGUAAAGCGCGCGUAGGUGGUUUUGUAAGUUGGAGGUGAAAUCCCCGGGCUCAACCUGGGAACUGCCUCCAAAACUGCAUGACUAGAGUACGGUAGAGGGUAGUGGAAUUUCCUGUGUAGCGGUGAAAUGCGUAGAUAUAGGAAGGAACACCAGUGGCGAAGGCGACUACCUGGACUGAUACUGACACUGGGGUGCGAAAGCGUGGGGAGCAAACAGGAUUAGAAACCCCAGUAGUCC
RNAcentral lists this ribosomal RNA (450 nucleotides) under uncultured bacterium. Its description in RNAcentral is "partial 16S ribosomal RNA". It matches the Rfam family "Bacterial small subunit ribosomal RNA", at positions 354 to 796 of the family's 1533-position model. The record is from RNAcentral.